GACGAACGCUGGCGGCGUGCCUAAUACAUGCAAGUUGAGCGCUGAAGGUUGGUACUUGUACCAACUGGAUGAGCAGCGAACGGGUGAGUAACGCGUGGGGAAUCUGCCUUUGAGCGGGGGACAACAUUUGGAAACGAAUGCUAAUACCGCAUAAAAACUUUAAACACAAGUUUUAAGUUUGAAAGAUGCAAUUGCAUCACUCAAAGAUGAUCCCGCGUUGUAUUAGCUAGUUGGUGAGGUAAAGGCUCACCAAGGCGAUGAUACAUAGCCGACCUGAGAGGGGAAUCGGCCACAUUGGACUGGAGAAACGGCCCAACCCCCUACGGGGGGCAGCAGAAGGGAAUUUUCGGCAAUGGCGAAAGCCUGACCGAGCAACGCCGCGUGAGUGAAGAAGGUUUUCGGAUCGUAAAACUCUGUUGGUAGGGAAGAACGUUGGUGAGAGUGGAAAGCCCAACAAGUGACGGUAACUACCCAAAAAGGGACGGCUAACUACGU
Molecule: ribosomal RNA, 495 nt
Filed under: uncultured bacterium
Lineage: Bacteria
Description: partial 16S ribosomal RNA
Rfam family: Bacterial small subunit ribosomal RNA
Source: RNAcentral